AGAAAAAAUUUGGAAUUGAAAUAAGAUUGCUAAUUUUAUUUCGGGUAAUUCAAUUUUAUCCUUUUUCUU
RNAcentral lists this transfer RNA (69 nucleotides) under Cipangopaludina ussuriensis. RNAcentral describes it as "tRNA-Ser". The record is from RNAcentral. Lineage: Eukaryota; Metazoa; Mollusca; Gastropoda; Architaenioglossa; Viviparidae.